UAAGGAAUAUUGGUCAAUGGACGCAAGUCUGAACCAGCUAUGCCGCGUGGAGGAUGAAGGUCCUCUGGAUUGUAAACUUCUUUUAUCUGGGACGAAACACUUCUUUUCUAAGAGGCCUGACGGUACCAGAUGAAUAAGCACCGGCUAACUCCGUGCCAGCAGCCGCGGUAAUACGUAGGGUGCGAGCGUUAAUCGGAAUUACUGGGCGUAAAGCGUGCGCAGGCGGUCGUGCAAGACAGAUGUGAAAUCCCCGGGCUCAACCUGGGAACUGGAUUGGUGAAGGCACGGAUGGAGUACGGCAGAGGGGGAUGGAAUUCCGCGUGUAGCAGUGAAAUGCGUAGAUAUGCGGAGGAACACCGAUGGCGAAGGCAGUCCCCUGGGCCUGUACUGACGCUCAUGCACGAAAGCGUGGGGAGCAAACA
Molecule: ribosomal RNA, 422 nt
Filed under: uncultured bacterium
Lineage: Bacteria
Description: bacterial SSU rRNA
Rfam family: Bacterial small subunit ribosomal RNA
Source: RNAcentral